AACUUUUGACAAUGGAUCACUGGGCUCUCGCAUCGAUGAAGAACGCAGCGAAAUGCGAUACGUAAUGUGAAUUGCAGAAUUCAGUGAAUCAUCGAAUCUUUGAACGCAUAUUGCGCUCUUUGGUAUUCCGAAGAGCAUGCUUGUUUGAGUAUCAGUAAACACCUCAACCUCCUCUUGUUUUUUCAUAAGGAGGUUGGUCUUGAGCUAUCCCAACAACCUUCAGCUGUAGGCGGGCGGCUUGAAAUGCAGGUGCAGCUGGACUUUUAUCUGAGCUAAAAGCAUAUCUAUUUAGUCCUCGUCAAACAGGAUUAUUACUAUUGCUGCAGCUAACAUAAAGGAUAAUUGUCCUCAUUGCUGACUGAUGCAGGAUUUUACGACACUUUAUGUGUUGUUCAACUCGAUCUCAAAUCAAGUAAGACUACCCGCUGAACUUAAGCAUAUCAAUAAGCGGAGGUU
RNAcentral lists this unclassified non-coding RNA (456 nucleotides) under uncultured Mortierella. RNAcentral's name for it is "sequence contains ITS2". The stretch from base 1 to 154 matches the Rfam family "5.8S ribosomal RNA". Lineage: Eukaryota; Fungi; Mortierellomycota; Mortierellomycetes; Mortierellales; Mortierellaceae. The record is from RNAcentral.